RNAcentral lists this unclassified non-coding RNA (1038 nucleotides) under Hevea brasiliensis (rubber tree). Lineage: Eukaryota; Viridiplantae; Streptophyta; Magnoliopsida; Malpighiales; Euphorbiaceae. The record is from RNAcentral.
GUAACUUGAAAAACAAUCAAUACAUAUAUUAUUUGUUUUAUAAAAAGACCAAGAAAAUAAACAAUAACAUGUUAAUUACAGAAGUCAUGGGCAAUAAGGAGCAAUAUUAAAUAAUACAAAGACAAAAUCUUAAAUUGUUCCAACUUCCGAGUGAUGAAGAAACAAAGCCAUGAGAAGCGAAAAAUAACCAUUCCAUUCCAUCACUUGCUUCCGCAAGAAAAAAGACAGCAACAGAGCCUUGAUGGAGAGGAAGAAGUAGAUUGGUUUCUUUGAGGUGCAGGAUAAUAAGAUGGCUGUGGUGGGAGAGGUGGGAUUGCAGCAGAUGAAUUUUUUUUCUCCUCUUUCACUCUGUUGAAAAUUACAGUAAAACCUUCCCCAGAAUUGGGGUCUGUUUCAUCCCAAGCUCCAAAUUGAGGAAUUGAAGUUGAUCUAUGGUGUCUGUCAUUAUCAGAUGGAUGACUUGCACUUCUGUGUCUACAAUGCUGCGGAGCAACAGAUGUAGAGAAGCUAUUAUUAGCUCCCUCAGUGACCCAACCCUUCUUCCGCUCGGAUUUUUCCCGACUAUAACCUGCAGCCUGCAGCAGAGAACUGCCAGAUUCUGACGUGAUACUCUUUUGGCUGUGGCCAAAACUCAAAUCACCUCUCCCAUACAUGAAGGCCUCUGGAUUCUGCUCCGGAUCAUUUGGGUUAAUGGGGACGCUGGCCUUCUCUUUGUGUGCAUUAUCAAAGUAUGCAGUGUAAGGUAUAUUAUCAUCGUCCCAGUUUCCGAAUUUUGGGACAUGGGAACGUUGCUGAGCCAUAGAGCAGGUGGGCUAUUGUAGCCAGUGACCAAUUUUUCUUUCUGAAUUGUUUGAUAGGGAAAACCUGGAGAAGGGAAGGGCAGAAGAAGGAUUGUGGAUUGCGUAUAGAGGUUGGAGCAUUUUGAGGGAAAUUGCGAGGAUGUAGCUUCCCAAGCUGAGACAAUGACUCGAUGAUUACAAAGUGAAAAACUCUCUCAUACCCACAAGUAAGGCCAAAGUCAUAAUCAUUUGUUUUCUA